CCCCCCUCUGAGUCACACCUGGAGAGUUUCCAGUACUCUACCAGUCUCAAAUACAGGAGGAAGAGUCAAGCAGAGAGAUAUCCAUUCCAUUCCUAGUUUGGGCAGUGGCUAGUGAGUGGAAGGCAAUCUGUCACAAGU
This 138-nucleotide small nucleolar RNA is filed under the name Ornithorhynchus anatinus (platypus). The record is from RNAcentral. Lineage: Eukaryota; Metazoa; Chordata; Mammalia; Monotremata; Ornithorhynchidae.